This 2518-nucleotide unclassified non-coding RNA is filed under the name Hevea brasiliensis (rubber tree). The record is from RNAcentral. Lineage: Eukaryota; Viridiplantae; Streptophyta; Magnoliopsida; Malpighiales; Euphorbiaceae.
UUAAAAUCCCUUUUCUCUAUGGUAUCAUUACUCACUUUAUUAUAGAUUCUUGAAUUAUAUCAUUCUUCAACUUCGCAAAAAAAAUUUAAAAAAAGUGCUCACUCUUUUGUGAGCUCAAAAGAUUGUUUUUUUUUGGGAUUUUGAGUCUGUUAGCUAUGAAGGGUGUGUUGUUUCUUGGUUUGUUUUUGUUUUUUCAAGUUCCAUUUUCAUCAUCUCAGUUAGUUCCUGCAGAAAGUAGAAUCCUUUUUCAAAUUCAACAGUUUCUUGAAAAUCCACCUGUUCUUCAACAAUGGAAUAAAUGGACAAAUUUUUGUUUUAUCCCACAAUCUCCUUCUCUUGUUAUCACUUGUUCUGGUAAUCAUAUAACUGAGUUAACAAUUGUUGGUAACAAAAAAUCCCCUUUUGAGUCUUUAAAAUCCUCAUCUCCACAAGCCCUUUCUGGGAAAUUUUCAAUUGAUUCAUUUUUCACUGUUGUUACUAAGCUUUCUAGUUUAAAAAAGCUAUCUUUAGUGUCUCUUGGUUUGUGGGGUUCAUUGCCUGCUAAGAUUAGUAGGUUACAUUCACUUGAGGUACUUAAUAUUAGUUCAAAUUUCAUUCUUGGUGAGAUUCCAUCAUCUAUAGUGAAUUUAAAGAACCUGAAAUCUCUUGUUUUAGCUAGAAAUUUGUUUAAUGGAAGUGUACCAGAUCUGAAAGGGUUAAAGUUACUUGAAGAGUUGGAUUUGAGUGGUAAUAAUUUAGGACCAAAGUUUCCAUCUUUAGGUGAUUACAAUAACAAUAAUCUUGUCUCAUUGAAUUUGAGUAACAAUUUCUUUAGAUCAGAAAUACCUAAUGGAUUCAACAAGUUUACUCAUUUGCAAAAUCUUGAUUUGUCUUCUAACAAACUUGUUGGUCCAAUGCCUGCUUUUCUGUUUUCACUUCCAGCAAUUCAGUCUAUUAGUAUUGCUAAGAAUCAGCUUAGUGGUGCUCUUCCAGGAAGUGUGUCUUGUAGCAACAAUCUAAAAUUUGUCGAUUUUUCGAGUAAUUUAUUGAUUGGAAAGUUGCCUACUUGUCUUGGAUCAAGUUCAAGAAACAGGACAGUGAUUAAUGUUUGGAAUUGUUUGUCAAGUACUAGUACUAAGUCUCAACAUCCACAUACAUUUUGUGAGAAACAAGCUAUAGCUGUUAAGCCCCCUCCAAGAACUAGUGGUGAAAAGGAACAAUCCACAGUUAAGCUUGGUGUUGUUUUAGGACUUAUUGCUGGUAUUGUUGUAGUUGUGGGUGCAUUUGGUUUGCUGAUCUUUUUCAUUGUGAAGAAGGUUAUGAGAAAUAGAGUUGAAAGUUAUAGAAAUGACAGCUUUGCUUUUGAGAAGAAUUCAACCCUUUCAAAAACUACUGAUGGAGGGAAUGCAAGGAGGACAAUGAGAAUGGUAUCAUUAGGACUUCCACCAUAUCAUGUUUUCACUUUAGAGGAAAUGGAAGAAGCAACAAACAGUUUUGAUCCAACUAAUCUGGUUGGAGAAGGUUCCCAGGGUCAGCUAUAUAGAGGUUGGCUUAGAGAUGGAUCAGUGGUCCUAGUAAAAUGUCUGAAAUUGAAGCAGAAGCAUUCACCUCAAAUUCUGCAGCAGCACAUGGAGAUGAUAUCAAAGCUAAGGCAUCGACAUUUAGUCAGUGUUCUUGGACACUGUGUUGUUACUUACCAAGAUCAUCCAAAUACAGCUAGCACUGUAUUUAUUGUGCUUGAAAACGUCGUCAAUGGAUCUCUUAAGGAUCAUCUUAAUGAUUGGAGGAAAAGGGAUGUAUUGAAAUGGCCACAAAGAAUGGGGAUUACAAUGGGGAUUGCAAAAGGAAUUCAGUAUUUGCAUACUGGAGGAGUCACCGGAAAUGAUAUAAAGCUUGAGAAUAUUUUGUUGGAUGAGACACUUACUGCUAGAAUAAGCAGCUACAAUAUAUCGUUGCCACCUAAGGUUGGUUCAGAAAGUCCUCUUGCUGGACCAGACCACUUUACCAGCGCGAAGGAAGCAGAAAAGGAAGACAUUUAUCAGUUGGGAAUUAUUCUACUAGAGGUUAUUAUUGGUAGACCAAUCAACUCUCGAAGCGAAGCAGAAGACCUUAAGCUUCAGGUGGAGACUGCCUUAUCGGAAUCACCAUCAAAGCUACGAGAUUUAACAGAUCCUUGUAUACGAGGUACGUUUGCAUAUGACUCAUUGAAAACGACAGUCCAGAUAGCAAUAAACUGCCUUGAUAAAGAACCAAGCAGGCGGCCAUCAGUCGAAGACGUUCUCUGGCAUAUGCAAUACUCAAUUCAGGUUCAAGAAGGAGCAACUAACAGUGGAAACCUCAGUGGGAACCAAAGUGGGAAACUCAGUGGAAAAAUAAGUGGAAAUCUUAAUAAUAAGUUUUACUGAUAAUAGAGAACUGUCAUUAUAUUGUUAUAUCUUGUUGUUUAGUCAUUUGUAUGCAUCUUGUACAGCACAGUUCAGUAACUUACUGAAUAAAUGAUUUUGCUUUCUACAUCACAAAAAUGUACACCAAAGUUUAC